AACGCACAUUGCGCCUUUUGGUAUUCCGAGAGGCACGUCCGUUCGAGCGUCAGUGAAAACCCUUCCGGGCCCGCUUUGCUGCGCGGCCACGGGACCCUGGCGAGGGGAUGUCGACCGUCCCGCGCCCCUUCACGGGGGUGCAGGCAUGGUUAUCCCCCGCUUAAACGCGGAGAAAGCUAGCGGGCUAAUGGUCACGACCGCGGAGACUAGUAAAUUAAACCUGUCAUCGAAGGUAAGGCCGGCGCCCCGCCUCUUAAAACCACGCGGCACUCCGGUGCCACCUGACUCUUGACCUCGAAUCGGAUGAGGAUACCCGCUGAACUUAA
RNAcentral lists this ribosomal RNA (326 nucleotides) under uncultured fungus. RNAcentral's name for it is "eukaryotic LSU rRNA". The record is from RNAcentral. Lineage: Eukaryota; Fungi.